Molecule: long non-coding RNA, 576 nt
Organism: Eubalaena glacialis (North Atlantic right whale)
Lineage: Eukaryota; Metazoa; Chordata; Mammalia; Artiodactyla; Balaenidae
Exons: 3
Source: RefSeq, a predicted model, not a curated record
CUGCCGAAAGGGCCUGAGGCGGGGGACGCCCGGGUCCCAGGGCCCUGGGGAAGGACCCCCAGCCGCAGGCCGCCCCAAGUGCAAAGCAUUGACACGGCCCAGAGAGGAGAGGGGGCGCCCUCCUUCUCCCGCGCCCGGCGGCCCGGCAGCUCUGGCCCGCGCCCCAGCUUGGCCUCCGACCCCGCUCCCGGCCGUGGCGCCGCCCGGGCCCCUGCACUCCGGAGGGAGGCUGCGGGUGCUGGAAAGAGAGGCCGGUGGGCGGGCGAGUCGGGAGGCGCUGGCUGCCGAGGUCCCGGAGCGGAACCCAGGUGGCGGGAGCUGGUGAGAUUCUGGGAAUUGGAAGAACACAAACAAUCUGCCUUGGAUGACACAGAGAGCCAGGUUCAUACAGGUGAGAAGAGAAGAAUCAUUUUGCAGCUAGGCUAACGCUUCAGGAUGCUUGGCCUGCUUCUGAGGGUGGACAGGAAGUUUACACACAGCCCUCUGUCAUAGGAUUCCUACAGUAAGGCUCAGAAUACACUACAAGACAAACGGUAUCCUCGGAAACCUAACAACUCCUUGAAUGGAAAAACGUCA